This is a long non-coding RNA of Oncorhynchus mykiss (rainbow trout), 1602 nucleotides long. RefSeq lists it as uncharacterized. The record is from RefSeq and is a predicted model, not a curated record. NCBI's taxonomy places the organism in Eukaryota, Metazoa, Chordata, Actinopteri, Salmoniformes, Salmonidae.
GUGGUUUAACAGAGGAGUAACUGUCAUUUUGAGUCAGAGUCUCUACCUGACAAAGUCAUGUUAGGAUAUAUCAGUUAUCCUGUUAGAACCUUAUACAGUAUCAUACCUGUUAGAACCUUUAUGUGGAAUCCACUGUUCUGUUUCAGCUGCAACGUUUAUGGUCACGUCGCAGCAGUUGUUGUUGGAGGGAGAUUCCAAAAUGUGGGGAAUGUGUAGGAGGGCAUGGGAUAGAGAAUUGUGUAGUUUCGGUGGAUAACGUUGUGUGUGUCAACUAUAGGGAUGCCCAUUGUUUAACUGCCUUAACUUUGCCGCACCCCAGGGCUAAUGGGGAUUGUGAGGGGGGAAAUUACGUAUUUAUUUGAUAUUACUGGUUAACAAUUAAUAUUUAACUAAUAGUAAGUCAUUUCUGUCCUACUAGUGUCUGUGUUUUUAUGGUCUCCACUCUACAGUAUUUCACUGCAGCUAAUCUGGGCGUAUGGUCACUGGAGAUGGCCUGAGCUGACAAAUGAGUUACACACUGCAUUACAUAGACAAGAAUGUGUUUAACUAGGGAUAGUUUAGGAGUAGAACAAUCCCUUAUUGUCUCUAACUCGUUUUUGCAUCUGGGAAACUGAACCAGGGUGGGGUUAAGACAACAACCCUGUGCAGAAAACGACCGGAUGAACCCAGAGUGGUUUAUGAUGCCCCAAUCUGCAUGGGAUAGGUGGAACCAAUCAUGACUAAGUAUUUUCGCCGUGAUUGGCUCAGUGUUCUGUCACUCAUUGGGACAUUAUGUCACCACCGAAUCUACAGGGAGAGCUAGGCAGUUCAAGCCCCCUUGGGUGCUGCAAUAGAAUUGCCCAUCCAAGAAGGCUCAAGGACUGAUCAUAUCAACAUGAUACUUUCACAAUCUUAGCUAUCAAGCUAGACAAGCGGUCAUCAUCUUGAAUCACGUCAACAAUCUACUGGAAAAUCCUUGUCAAAUGAAGAGAUAUUAUAGAUAAAACGUAUCGGUGCUCUUCGACCAUUGGAUAUAAACAUUACACAAGUCGGAAAUUGCAAAUAAAAUAACGAGUGGUUUAGAACUAACCAAUGGCAAGCGUAGCCUGCUAUUCGGUGGAGAGGGUGUGUGGUCCGGGUUUAAGGAGUCAAAACAUCUGUCUGAAAUGAUCUCUUUUCCAAUCUUAAAAGGAUAAACAUCCACAUGCAACACCAUGGGCCAGAAAAGGUUGAAUGCAGGUUCAAUCCAGCAUGACUUCUGCCGCGUUCAACACAACUGGGAACUCUGAAAGAAACCAACUCGGACUGGGAAAAUAGUUCGGGAACUCGGGCCUUUUUCUAGAGCUCCGACUUGAAGAUCACAAACAUUAUGUUUCAACUUUUUUUCUCUCUCUCUCGAGUUCCCAGUCUUGAAUAAAUCAUAAAUCCAGAGCAUGUCAGACUUUGAUGACAAAAGUUUGCCCACAGGAAGACCGCCGCGCCACGUUCAAAUGAGCACAUUACAACAACAGUAAAUAGUGAUACUCUCUAAACUGCUCUGGCGACAAAACAAACCGUGUUGCCCUGUCUCCAAUCAUCCACAUGGCUGGGAGAACCUAUUCAAAGAGCUGUGAAAGCCUGUCU